RNAcentral lists this ribosomal RNA (301 nucleotides) under uncultured bacterium. RNAcentral describes it as "partial 16S ribosomal RNA". It matches the Rfam family "Bacterial small subunit ribosomal RNA", at positions 509 to 807 of the family's 1533-position model. The record is from RNAcentral.
CAGUCGCCGCGGGAAUACGUAGGGUGCGAGCGUUAAUCGGAAUUACUGGGCGUAAAGCGUGCGUAGGCGGUGAGUUAAGUCUGCUGUGAAAUCCCCGGGCUCAACCUGGGAAUGGCAGUGGAUACUGGCUCGCUAGAGUGUGUCAGAGGAUGGUGGAAUUCCCGGUGUAGCGGUGAAAUGCGUAGAGAUCGGGAGGAACAUCAGUGGCGAAGACGGCCAUCUGGGACAACACUGACGCUGAGGCACGAAAGCGUGGGGAGCAAACAGGAUUAGAUACCCCCGUAGUCCCUGUCUCUUAUAC